Bufo gargarizans (Asiatic toad) is the source of this 194-nucleotide small nuclear RNA. RefSeq annotates it as U2 spliceosomal RNA. The transcript has a single exon. NCBI's taxonomy places the organism in Eukaryota, Metazoa, Chordata, Amphibia, Anura, Bufonidae. The record is from RefSeq and is a predicted model, not a curated record.
AACGAUUUUUACCCCUCGACGGGUAAAUAUCAACUUAAAAAUAUGUUCUUAUCAGUUUAAUAUCUGAUACGUCCCCUAUCUGGGGACCAUAUAUUAAAUGGAUUUUUCGAACAGGGAGAUGGAAAAAGAGCUUGCUCUGUCCACUCCACGCAUUGACCUGGUAUUGCAGUACCUCCAGGACCGGUGCACCCUUU